UUAGGAUGAAAAAGUUAUCCCACUUUCAAAUAAGGUGAUCUUGUUGACUUGAAGAAAAGAAAUGGAGUGGUGAAGUGUUGAGUUGAGAUUGAGUCUUGAGCAAGAAUAGGGCAAGACCUCCGGAGAUUAUCUAUGAAGACUUUAUGAGUGGUUGAAGGUGUCCAGAAGUGCUCAUAUGGCUGUGCAAAGAUAGGGCCAAGUCCAGGAGGGACUUAGAAGAGUGUUUGGGAGCAAAUGGGCAAGUGUGCAUACUUAGGGCGACGCAGUACGGAUGGUACGGACCUGUACGGAUCCGUACGGACCGAGACAACCCGAGGAUACACAACUUGGCCAUUUGAGAUGUUUUGGGAGUGUGCAAAGUCCGGGCCAAGAUGUGCAAAGUUAGGGCGUGAUCAGAACAUGUCAUGGAGGCUUUGUGCACACUUAGGGCUGAGUAAAAGGAGUCUGGUCGUGGAGCAUCAAAAGGGAAUCAAGGAGAUCCCUUGUGAAGGCAAGCGGCCAAUGAGAGCUGAGAUGGAGCUGAUUGGCUACUUUGGAGUAUGGACAGGCUGGCUAUAGCUGUAAAGUGAAAGACAGCCUUUACCAUGAACCUGAUCUGAAUAAGGGCUUGAUACAUGGGAGCCUAUAAGGAGCCAAUGGGAGGACAGCCUUCCCUUUGACCAGUUUGAAUAAACCAAUCAGAUAUCAACUAGCUCUCCUCCAAUCAAGACAUUACACACAGAUUGCAAUCUCAACUCUCCAUCCUGGCCAUCCAUUUAUAUUCAGUCAUUUCUAUCCAUUAGAUUUAGGUUUAUGAGAAUGCAAAGUUGUAAACCUUAUAAAAGGAGAUGUGUGGGCGAUUUUGUAAAGGCUUAAGGGAGUUUGGGGGAUUUCCCCUCUCCACUUCAUAAUGAAAUGUGUUCUUGAAUCAGAUUCCCUUUAAUCUCUCCCUUUCUUAUACUCUUAAUCUCUCAAAGUCUCUAGUUUCUGAUUUAAGUAAACACAUAAACACUCUUAUAAACUCUCUCUCUAAAAUCACCUAAAACAAACUCUAAUCUUCUCAGCUUGCUCCAUUGGAGCUUAUACACAUACACAACCUGAGAUCUCUGAAAAUCUCACAUGGUAUCAGAGCCAGGUUCAUCUGAAUCUGGUUGAAGCUUCCGCAAACCUCAGAGCUCACUCCCAUGUCCAUUACAACCAAGAAGAAGCUGUCUGUUCAAUCCGGCUGUUCAACACCUCAAGAGGCAGGCGUGUUCAUCCUGGAGUCCAGAAGCUGUCUGGUGCUGUUCCUCAUCAUCCCAUGUCGCCCUUGAAGAAAGAAGAUCCAAGGAAACAAAGGCAAUGGAGUGGAUUAGCUACCCUCUCUAGCAAAGCCAGUUCCUGGUUCUUGCUAUUCAAAGUCCAAGAAGAAGUUUCUCAAGAAGAAAGCUUGCUGCUUGUACUGGUGUGGCGUGUACAACAUGGAGAAAGGUGGGAGCUAAGACAUGGUAGUUCAAAAGGAAAGGUCCAUGGAAGAUGGAGGCGUUGGAGUGCACACUAACAACUCAGAAUCUGUCCAAUGGAAUCAAGGAUCUAUACAAAGGUCCUUGGCUGUAAGAAAGUUCUUUCCUUUUGUAUAAAGCUUGAGUAUAUUGACAUGUUGUGUUGUGGUGUUGUGAUUGAACAACCUGAGGAUGUGUUAAGAUUGCUAAAUAAACAAUUGUUUAGAAUCUGUCCCAGGAUACUUAUUGAGUUGUGUUUGGUGACUGAGAAGUUGUUGCUUGCAUACUGGUUCAUAAUGAUUGUCUUUUAGGAUGAUAGUAGUAAUGUCUAAACCUGAUUGCUUUCAUGAAAUGAAACCAAGUUUAAAUGUGAAGCAUUGAGUGUUGUUGCUGCCUUGUAUUGAUGCAUUGGAUUCAUGUCUAAGUUGCAGAUUAAGGAGCAUUAAAAUUGCCUAAGUAGCUUGUCUUGAAUCUUGAAGGGAUCUUGCUUGUGCUUAGAGAGUUUGCUUGCAAAGAUUAGAACUUGAAAAUGUCUAGUUUAAUCUGUUGCAUUGCUUAAAGACAUUGGUGUUCAAACUUGAUGAUGCAUCAAGGGUUGACCCAAUGCACUUGUGUCUUAUCUUUGCUGGAGUUUGAGUGAUGUUUCAGGUACAUGAGGAGUGUUCUUUGUCCAUCACUAAUCCUAGUUGAAGAGGAAGACUUUGCCCAUUGUUAAAGCAAUGGAGAGUGGCUUGUGUGUAUGGCCGGUUGAGAUAGCGCAGCUUGUGAUGGUGAUGCGCUCCUGGUUCAUGGAGACACACAAGUAAAGGCCAUCACCAAAGUCUUGGGGAGACUGAUGACCUGAAGGCAUUGGAGCUGAAGGCAAAGGCAGAUCGGUUGGCUUAAGCGCAGCUGUAGGCAGUGAUGUGCUCCCGGUUUGAAGUCUCAUUGAGGCUCACUUCAAGCUUGCACCUAUACAAAGUCAAGCUUGAGGUGGGGAUUCAAGUGAGCUACCAGAAGAUCCUCAAAGCUCAAUGUCCUGAUUCCUCAAGGCCAAUGCAAGCUGAUCAUGUGUAGAUGCAGCCGAAGUAGAGUGAAGAAGAAAGCAACUCAAUGAGCUUCUAAUAAGAAGUACUUGGAGAGUAAGCUGAGGUAUCUCCUCAGUGCAAUGGUGGUUAAGUGGGGAAGUAAGCAUCAAGUCUGAAGAAGAUGGAGGUGUUCCCACAAGGUUGUUCAUGAAGCUUAGUAUGCGCUCACCUUCAAGCUUGGACCUUCCCUAUACUCGGUCUCAAGCUUGAGGGGGAGUAUUAGUAAGCUUGUGUGAUGAAAGGAGAAGCUGUUAAGCUUAGCAAGUGAGGACUCAAGUGGCGAAAUGAAGAGACCACUCCUCACCAUCUUAAACAAGGGAGUAAACCUGAACUUAUCUCUUUAAGUAUAUACAUGAUAGGUUUAUCUCUUGAGGACUGAUACACUUGUGGAAUGUUGUAUCAGGUACUUGGAUACUCAAUGAGCAGGAGCUAGGCGUGUCUUACCUGAUGGAGAUGGCAAGAAGCCACGAGAGAAGGGAAGACUCAGGCCGGUCCAAAGAAGAGUUCCAAGAAGUGUUAGUGGUGUGCAAUGAAGUGAUGAUCAACAAUGCAUCACGAGAAGAGGCCAUGAUCCAGAGUCUUUGUGUCCCUUACAUUGCUGGUAAGGCACAAAGACUCACUGGCCAAUCCCUAGGCCUUGGAGGCUUUACUCUUUUUCCCUCAUCAAGGUUUUGUCCCAAAGGGUUUUCCUUGGUGAGGUUUUUAAUGAGGAAGUUCUUCAAGGUUCCAAGCUUGACUUAGGAUCAACUAAAGUCAAGCUUGAGGGGGAGUGUUAACUUGAAGAGAAGAAAUGGAGAAACUAAAGGUGUUGAGUUGAGUUGGGGCUUGUGCAAAAGAUAGGGCAAGGUGUCCAAAAGUGUCAUGAUGGAUGUGCAAUGUUAGGGCCAAGUCUAGGAGAGACUUAGAAGUGUAUUUGGGAGCAAAUGGACGAGUGUGCAAAGAUAGGGAGAGGCAGUACGGACAUGUACGGACAGUACGGAUCUGUACAGACCAGGGCGACCCAGAUUUGCAUAACUCGGCCAUUUGAGAAGUUUUGGAGUUGGUGCAAAAAUAGGGCGAACCUGACGUCCCGGGAAAGCUUGUGCAAUGUCUGGGCAAGGUUUGAGAGUUAUAAAAGUGGUCCCAGUCUUGUGGAUAAGGUUCUGAUCAGAUGGCAUCAAAGGAGAAUCAAGAAGAUGCCAUUGGAGUGUGAUUGGCUAGUUUGGUCAUGGGACAGGCUGGCCUUGGCUGUAAAGACAAGGGGAGCCACGACCAUGAACCUGGACUGAUCUGUGGACAGAUUAGGAGGAGCCUAAGGAGAGCCAAUCACAGCCCAGCCUUCCCCAUUUUGAAUUAAACCAAUCAGGCUCCAUCUCCUCUUAACCAAUCAGCAUCAACUACUCAGAUUGCAACAAGACCAGCUCAUCUACACCAUCCAUUCCUCUUAAGUUAUUAUCAGCCAUUAGAUAUAGGUUUCUGAUUGUGUAAACCUGUGUAAGCUUAUAAAUAAGCAUGAUGGACGAAAUUGUAUCUCUCUAAGAGAGAGAGGGGGAUUUCCCCUCCUCCUUCAUCAAUGAAAGGGUUUUGAAAACCAGAAACACAAAUCUAUUCUCUAGUCUUAAUCUCUCAGUCUCUCAGUCUCUUAAUCUCUGUUUCUAAGUCUCUUAUACACUCAAAAACACUCUUAUCAAUCUCUGUUCUUAAAUCACCAUUAAAAGCUCUCAUCUUGCUCAAUUGGAGCUUAUACACAUUCACACACACAACCAGAGUAGUACUCUAUAAAAACUCACAUGGUAUCAGAGCCAGGUUCAUCAGAACCUGGUUGAAGCUUCCGCACAUCUCACACUCAUACCUCAGCUCAAAUCCAAGCCAUGAAGACAGCUCCAUCCAGUUCAGUUUCUCCAUGAAGAAGAAGACUGAAGCUUGGCGCUUGUUCCUGGUUCCUCAACCUUUCUCAUACCUGUCCUGAUGAAGAGCCACGUUGGAAGCAAAGGUAGAUGGAGAGGCCUAGCUAACCUGACUCCAAAACACCUUGUCCAAGUGUUUGUUGCAUCUGGUUACAAGAAAGAAGAUGUCUAGAAGAUGGUGACUGUAUGUAUGGAGAAAGGAGGGGUCUUUGAGCUGGAGAAACAAGAAGAUGGUCAUGAGUAGAAGGAAGAGAGGUUGGGUGACGACCUGUAACUCUCAGAUCCAACAAGCCAUGACCUUAAUGCCAUUGGAGGUUCAAGGAACCAAACAGGUUCCUUGACUGUAAGCUAUUACUAUCCCUUCUUGAUAAUGAGCUUGUGUUAUUGACUGGUUGUGAUGUUGUGAUGUGAUUGAAAACCUGAGGAUUGUUUAAAGAUUGCUAAAUGAAAAUGAUUUAGAA
This is a long non-coding RNA of Brassica napus (rape), 4874 nucleotides long. RefSeq lists it as uncharacterized. Lineage: Eukaryota; Viridiplantae; Streptophyta; Magnoliopsida; Brassicales; Brassicaceae. The record is from RefSeq and is a predicted model, not a curated record. The transcript has 2 exons.